AUGGCGCUCACCGUCAAGAGCACCGACGACCAGGCCGUGCUGGACGCCGAGCACGAGCUCUGGGCGACCACAUUCUCCUACAUCAAGUCCAUGGCGCUCAAGUCGGCCCUUGACCUCCGCCUCGCCGACGCCAUCCACCACCACGGCGGCGCCGCCACCCUCCCUCAGAUAGCCGCCAGGGUCGCGGUGCACCCGUCCAAGAUCCCCUGCCUGCGCCGCCUCAUGCGCACGCUCACCGUCUCGGGCGUCUUCAGCGUCGUCCAGCAGCAGGACGUCGUCGUUCCUGCUGCCCCCGUGAGCAACGGCAGCUGCAACGGCGCCGUCGCCGCCGAGCCCUUGUACGCCCUCACGCCGGUCUCCCGCCUCCUCGUCGGCUCGUGGAACCUGGUCUCGAUCAUCACCAUGCUCCUCAGCCCCAACUUCGUCACCACAUUCCUGGGCAUCGGCGCGUGGUUCGAGCACGCGCUGCCGGACCCGUGCCUCUUCACGCAGGCGCACGGCGAGGCCCUGUGGACGAUGGCGGACCACGACGCCACCUUCGACGCGCUCAUCAACGACGGGAUGGUCUCGGACAGCAGCUUCAUCAUGGACAUCGCCAUGAGGGAGUGCGGCGAGGUCUUCCAGGGGAUAGGCUCCCUGAUGGACGUCGGGGGCGGCCUCGGCGCGGCGGCCCAGGCCAUCUCCAGGGCGUUCCCAAGUCUGGAAUGCACCGUGAUGGACCUCGACCACGUCGUCGACAAGGCUCCGGCUGGCACCGACGUGAAGUACGUCGUCGGCGACAUGUUCGAGAGCGUUCCGCCGGCAGACGCUGUCUUUCUCAAGUGGGUACUACAUGACUGGGGACACGAGGACUGUGUCAAGAUACUAAAGAACUGCAAGAAAUCUAUUCCUCCGAGAGGGAAAGGAGGAAAGGUAAUAAUCAUCGACAUAGUGAUUGGAGCCGGGCCGUCACACGUAAAGCACCGGGAGCUGCAGUCCAUGUUCGACCUCUACAUGAUGAUUGUCGAUGGCAUUGAGCGAGAUGAGCAAGAGUGGAAAAAGAUCUUCCUCGAAGCUGGGUUUAGUGGCUACAAGAUUAUACCAGUUCUAGGGUUCAGGUCAAUCAUCGAGGUCUACCCGUAG
Molecule: ribosomal RNA, 1122 nt
Filed under: Triticum aestivum (bread wheat)
Lineage: Eukaryota; Viridiplantae; Streptophyta; Magnoliopsida; Poales; Poaceae
Description: partial small subunit ribosomal RNA
Source: RNAcentral